This is a long non-coding RNA of Pygocentrus nattereri (red-bellied piranha), 543 nucleotides long. The record is from Ensembl. NCBI's taxonomy places the organism in Eukaryota, Metazoa, Chordata, Actinopteri, Characiformes, Serrasalmidae.
GUUCACUUCCUGCAGAGCCUCGACAAAGCAGCGGAGAAAUGAAGAAGAAAUAAAUCAGCGAUUACAGACGGCCAUGUUUAACAAUUCCAUGGGUGCAAAUUUGGGGCAAGCAGCGUCAGGCACUAAAGACUCUCCGGUGGCCUCACAACCUACCACUGGGCCCCGGGGUCAAAUGCCUUCGACAACUGACGACUCUCUCCAUCAGGAGGAUCAACAACACAACAGAGCUGAGCAACCAGGUCAACCACAUUUCAUCAGUGGACAUCUUUUUAAUCAGAUACCACAGAGGUCACAACUCAUCACAGGUAUGUCCUUCACUUUCACAUUUUGAGAUGACAGCUUCUUUCUAUUAAGCAAGAGAUCAAGUACAGAAUAGGCUACACUGUCAGUUACACACGUUGUCAAUUCAACAUGUAUAUCUGAAGGGGCUAUUGGUAGAUGUGGUCUGAGGUGUGGCAUAAGCAGCAUAAAAGAGCUUUUGUUGUAUUUCAGUAGGUUUCAGUCUCAGGCACUCUGCAAACAGAAGUACUCAAACAGUUUAAU